GAUGAACGCUGGCGGCGUGCCUAAUACAUGCCAGUCGAGCGAACGGACGAGAAGCUUGCUUCUCUGAUGUUAGCGGCGGACGGGUGAGUAACACGUGGAUAACCUACCUAUAAGACUGGGAUAACUUCGGGAAACCGUAGCUAAUACCGGAUAAUAUUUUGAACCGCAUGGUUCAAAAGUGAAAGACGGUCUUGCUGUCACUUAUAGAUGGAUCCGCGCUGCAUUAGCUAGUUGGUAAGGUAACGGCUUACCAAGGCAACGAUGCAUAGCCGACCUGAGAGGGUGAUCGGCCACACUGGAACUGAGACACGGUCCAGACUCCUACGGGAGGCAGCAGUAGGGAAUCUUCCGCAAUGGGCGAAAGCCUGACGGAGCAACGCCGCGUGAGUGAUGAAGGUCUUCGGAUCGUAAAACUCUGUUAUUAGGGAAGAACAUAUGUGUAAGUAACUGUGCACAUCUUGACGGUACCUAAUCAGAAAGCAACGGCUAACUACGUG
RNAcentral lists this ribosomal RNA (497 nucleotides) under uncultured bacterium. RNAcentral's name for it is "partial 16S ribosomal RNA". It matches the Rfam family "Bacterial small subunit ribosomal RNA", at positions 28 to 507 of the family's 1533-position model. The record is from RNAcentral.